Molecule: small nucleolar RNA, 256 nt
Organism: Bombina bombina (fire-bellied toad)
Lineage: Eukaryota; Metazoa; Chordata; Amphibia; Anura; Bombinatoridae
Source: RefSeq, a predicted model, not a curated record
AAAGGUCUUGUGUUUAUUUCUUGAACAGCAGACAAAAUAUUCAUGAAUUCAGCUCAGGAUGGAAAGUUUGGGAUAUUCCCAGUGACCCACUGGGAAUAUCCCAAACUUUCCAUCCUGAGCUGAAUUCAUGAAUAUUUUGUCUGCUGUUCAAGAAAUAAACACAAGACCUUUUUAAUCGCAUAACUGUGAAGGUGCCUUUUUUCGCUAUUUGAGUACUACCAGAGUAAUCACUGGAGAGCACACACGGCAGCGAUUU